This 158-nucleotide ribosomal RNA is filed under the name uncultured bacterium. RNAcentral's name for it is "partial 16S rRNA". It matches the Rfam family "Bacterial small subunit ribosomal RNA", at positions 355 to 507 of the family's 1533-position model. The record is from RNAcentral.
UGAGGAAUAUUGCGCAAUGGGCGAAAGCCUGACGCAGCGACGCCGCGUGAGGGAUGAAGGCCUUAGGGUCGUAAACCUCUGUCAGUAGGGAAGAAAAGCCAUCGUUAACUGCGGUGGUGUUGACGGUACCUACAAAGGAAGCACCGGCUAACUCCGUG